This 253-nucleotide ribosomal RNA is filed under the name uncultured bacterium. RNAcentral describes it as "partial 16S ribosomal RNA". It matches the Rfam family "Bacterial small subunit ribosomal RNA", at positions 524 to 776 of the family's 1533-position model. The record is from RNAcentral.
UACGUAGGGGGCAAGCGUUGUCCGGAUUUAUUGGGCGUAAAGAGCGUGUAGGCGGCUAGGUAGGUCCGUUGUGAAAACUCGAGGCUCAACCUCGAGACGUCGAUGGAAACCAUCUAGCUAGAGUCCGGAAGAGGAGAGUGGAAUUCCUGGUGUAGCGGUGAAAUGCGCAGAUAUCAGGAAGAACACCCGUGGCGAAGGCGGCUCUCUGGUACGUGACUGACGCUGAGACGCGAAAGCGUGGGGAGCGAACGGG